AACUUGGGCUGGCCCAAUCGGAUUUGGGCUGGGUUCAGGCUUGGAUUUUCUAAAAAUUUUUCGGUGUAAGCCUAGCCUGAAGGCCAAAAAAAAAAAGUAGGCCAGGCUCGGGUAUGUAUUGGCUGGCUCAGCCCGGCCCAUUUCUAGCCCUAGUUGAAACCUAGUCUUGACAUCAUAUGUUGUUAUUGUAGUGUUAAUUAACCAAUUCACCUCAAGAGUAUGAGCUGAUAGGAAACAGAUCAACAAUGUAUAUUAGGCUUAACAUGUAUCAAACCCAAAAUAUAUUUAGCUCUGAACCACA
This 301-nucleotide long non-coding RNA is filed under the name Elaeis guineensis (African oil palm). RNAcentral describes it as "long non-coding RNA (EGUI_LNC081361)". The record is from RNAcentral. Lineage: Eukaryota; Viridiplantae; Streptophyta; Magnoliopsida; Arecales; Arecaceae.